AUGCCGCUAGGGCUUAGGCUGCGAUGUCGCUAUCCACAAGGCAUUUCAUUGCCAAAUAUAUUUGAAUGUGUCCAUCACAGAGUGGCCGUUUCAAAUGCAAACCUCAUCCAGCCUCGUGUCCUCUGCAGGGUGUCGGGCCCCCUCCUGUCUCCUGGGAUGAAGGGGACCGGGACACCCCCCCCCCAUCCGCUGGAGAAGCAGCACGUCCACUCUCACCAUAAGCCCUACUCCCAGUAUCACCACCACCCGUGUGCCAGUGACGAAUACCAGGGCAGCUUCCAGAGCUGCUUCCAUUUCGGCGACUCCUACAGGAUGGAGCAGACGGCAGCUGGCGCCCACCUGGGGGGCGACUCCCACGUCUACGCGUCCCAGCAGCACAACGGCUUCCACAUGGCGCCGGGCGGCGCCGGCUCCGCAGGUGAGCGCGCCGCGGCCCGCGGGUCGGUCCGGGUGGGUCGGUGGUUUCAGGUAAUGAUGCGACGCCGUGCGCGUCUCCUCUGUGACGCAGGCUUCGGCUUGACCCAGGAGCUGCAGGGAAACGCCGGGUGCCAGUUCUCCUCCGGCCCCGAGGAGAGCGUCUACUUCCAGGUGGGCAGCUUCGACCGCAGCCUGAGCCACGUGUCCUCCGUCUACACCGAGACGUAGAGCAGCGCUGGAGCAGGACCUUCACCCACAGUCUCCAAUAGAUCUGAAACUACAUAGGCUUCAUGACAGUAAUUCUGUAUUAUAAACCCCUGAAAUUCCCUAAACCCGUUCAGAUGUUUGCUGCAUCUGCUUAAACAUGGCCUGAGAGCGUCAGUGACACCACAUUGUGACAUUCAAAUUAAUGAGACACUUAUUUAUUGGGAAAGAAUCUGAUAUUGUUGUUUAUGGCACACGCAUGUGGAUCAAUAAGCUGUGAUCACACCUUUGUGCCUCGCAUUUCGCAUGUUGGUGGGAGGGACUGAGUCCGGUCCAGAUGAACUACCUACAGGUCACUCCCUGGCUUUCCGUAAGGAUCACAGACUUUGACUCAGCCGUUCCCAAAUGAGUUCUACUUGCAACAUUUUCUGGUUCCAGAUGUGUUUAAUGCUGUUGCCUUUCUGCUGAUUUUCAGUUCACAGCUGGAUACCUUUUUCAUCAAUUGCUUUUACAGCCACAGGAAAACAGGCCCAAACCCUGAUGAUGUCAUCAGCGUGGUGCGCACAUGGAAUCAGGCGCUCACGCGGGAACAAAGUGCUUAGUCAUUGUUAAAUGUGGCGCCUCACACGGAAGCCGCACAGUUCCACCUCGGACGCAGACGUCCGCUGACCGCCGGUCCGACAGCCGCCUCUGGCUCAUCCGCACAGCGAACCGUGAGUGAGCAGCCAUGCUGUCUCUGCUGAGGGUCAGGCGCAGUGGCAUCAGAAACACAACCUUCUACUGUACAAACGUAGUGUCGACAUCAGCCUUUUCUGGUGUGGAGCCACAUUUUCUGCUUUAUUAAAGAUGACACGUGUCUCCCAGGCUCCCACCUGAGUUCAUGAUCUGCCUUUUCAAAUUCAUUUAAACUUCAAAUUAAUUGAUUAAUGCAGUCUGGCAGCACGGAGAUCUGUGGACAACUUCCCACUAUAAAUAAAUAGUCAUUUUAUGUUUAACCCA
This 1620-nucleotide long non-coding RNA is filed under the name Betta splendens (Siamese fighting fish). RNAcentral's name for it is "lncRNA (ENSBSLG00000015937.1)". Lineage: Eukaryota; Metazoa; Chordata; Actinopteri; Anabantiformes; Osphronemidae. The record is from RNAcentral.